Molecule: ribosomal RNA, 353 nt
Filed under: uncultured bacterium
Lineage: Bacteria
Description: bacterial SSU rRNA
Rfam family: Bacterial small subunit ribosomal RNA
Source: RNAcentral
UAAGCUUGCUUAAGUGGGUGGCGAGUGGCGGACGGGUGAGUAAUGCAUCGGGACCUACCCAGACGUGGGGGAUAACGUAGGGAAACUUACGCUAAUACCGCAUACGUCCUACGGGAGAAAGCAGGGGAUCUUCGGACCUUGCGCGGUUGGACGGACCGAUGUUCGAUUAGCUAGUUGGUAAGGUAAUGGCUUACCAAGGCGACGAUCGAUAGCUGGUCUGAGAGGAUGAUCAGCCACACUGGAACUGAGACACGGUCCAGACUCCUACGGGAGGCAGCAGUGGGGAAUAUUGGACAAUGGGCGCAAGCCCUGAUCCAGCAAUGCCGCGUGUGUGAAGAAGGCCUUAGGGUUGU